RNAcentral lists this ribosomal RNA (253 nucleotides) under uncultured bacterium. RNAcentral's name for it is "partial 16S ribosomal RNA". It matches the Rfam family "Bacterial small subunit ribosomal RNA", at positions 524 to 776 of the family's 1533-position model. The record is from RNAcentral.
UACGAAGGGGGCUAGCGUUGUUCGGAAUUACUGGGCGUAAAGCGCACGUAGGCGGAUAUUUAAGUCAGGGGUGAAAUCCCGGGGCUCAACCCCGGAACUGCCUUUGAUACUGGGUAUCUCGAGUCCGAGAGAGGUGAGUGGAAUUCCGAGUGUAGAGGUGAAAUUCGUAGAUAUUCGGAGGAACACCAGUGGCGAAGGCGGCUCACUGGCUCGGUACUGACGCUGAGGCGCGAAAGCCAGGGGAGCGAACGGG